Molecule: transfer RNA, 74 nt
Filed under: Patescibacteria group bacterium
Lineage: Bacteria
Description: tRNA-Pro
Rfam family: tRNA
About the family: Transfer RNA (tRNA) molecules are approximately 80 nucleotides in length. Their secondary structure includes four short double-helical elements and three loops (D, anti-codon, and T loops).
Source: RNAcentral
CGGGGCGUAGUAUAGUGGUAGUAUACACGCUUCGGGUGCGUGAGGUCCGAGUUCGAUUCUCGGCGCCCCGACCA